UGAAGAAACAAAAGCAUUUAGCACAUUUC
Molecule: non-coding RNA, 29 nt
Filed under: Rattus norvegicus (Norway rat)
Lineage: Eukaryota; Metazoa; Chordata; Mammalia; Rodentia; Muridae
Source: RNAcentral